GACGAACGCUGGCGGCGUGCUUAACACAUGCAAGUCGAACGGAAAGGCCCUGCUUUUGUGGGGUGCUCGAGUGGCGAACGGGUGAGUAACACGUGAGUAACCUGCCCUUGACUUUGGGAUAACUUCAGGAAACUGGGGCUAAUACCGGAUAGGAGCUCCUGCUGCAUGGUGGGGGUUGGAAAGUUUCGGCGGUUGGGGAUGGACUCGCGGCUUAUCAGCUUGUUGGUGGGGUAGUGGCUUACCAAGGCUUUGACGGGUAGCCGGCCUGAGAGGGUGACCGGCCACAUUGGGACUGAGAUACGGACCAGACUCCUACGGGAGGCAGCAGUGGGGAAUAUUGCACAACGGGCGGAAGCCUGAUGCAGCAACGCCGCGUGCGGGAUGACGGCCUUCGGGUUGUAAACCGCUUUCGCCUGUGACGAAGCGUGAGUGACGGUAAUGGGUAAAGAAGCACCGGCUAACUACGUG
Molecule: ribosomal RNA, 468 nt
Filed under: uncultured bacterium
Lineage: Bacteria
Description: partial 16S ribosomal RNA
Rfam family: Bacterial small subunit ribosomal RNA
Source: RNAcentral